This 482-nucleotide ribosomal RNA is filed under the name uncultured bacterium. RNAcentral's name for it is "bacterial SSU rRNA". It matches the Rfam family "Bacterial small subunit ribosomal RNA", at positions 30 to 507 of the family's 1533-position model. The record is from RNAcentral.
AUUGAACGCUGGCGGCAUGCUUUACACAUGCAAGUCGAACGGUAACAGGCCUUCGGGCGCUGACGAGUGGCGAACGGGUGAGUAACGCAUCGGAACGUGCCCAGUCGUGGGGGAUAACGCAGCGAAAGCUGUGCUAAUACCGCAUACGAUCUCUGGAUGAAAGCGGGGGACCCUCGGGCCUCGCGCGAUUGGAGCGGCCGAUGUCAGAUUAGCUAGUUGGUGGGGUAAAGGCCCACCAAGGCGACGAUCUGUAGCUGGUCUGAGAGGACGACCAGCCACACUGGGACUGAGACACGGCCCAGACUCCUACGGGAGGCAGCAGUGGGGAAUUUUGGACAAUGGGCGCAAGCCUGAUCCAGCAAUGCCGCGUGCAGGAAGAAGGCCUUCGGGUUGUAAACUGCUUUUGUACGGAACGAAAAGGUCCGGGUUAAUACCCUGGGCUCAUGACGGUACCGUAAGAAUAAGCACCGGCUAACUACGUG